This 426-nucleotide long non-coding RNA is filed under the name Musa acuminata (dwarf banana). Its description in RNAcentral is "long non-coding RNA (MACU_LNC005007)". Lineage: Eukaryota; Viridiplantae; Streptophyta; Magnoliopsida; Zingiberales; Musaceae. The record is from RNAcentral.
AGGAGGUGCGCACAAAGUUAAAUAGUGCAAUGAAAAAGAAAGGGUGGUUAAUCAUCAGUGUCAAACCCAUUGUUCAUGUCAAAGGAGAUCAUAGAUCAGUUCCAAUUAUGAUAGAUAGCCUUUUCCUCCCUUUACGAAUCAGCAAUAUUCUAUCACCUUGAUGUAAGACUUGUGCAGUUAGGCAUCCAACGUCUGAUACAUCUAGAGACCAUCGGAUGGAAGUUCUCAUAAACACCUAUUAUUCUUCUACACAAGAAUAAAAGACUAAGCCACUAAACCCAGGAAAACAACAUGAUUUGGACCAAGGUAAAUGAUGAGAGUUCUCCAUUAGGAUGGACACCAGGAAUGACACCAAAUUUUCACUAGCAUCCAAUAAUGACAGCAAUAGUUGCAUUUUGAAAAUAUUAAUAUAGGUUACCUUCUUUG